UACGUAGGGUGCGAGCGUUAAUCGGAAUUACUGGGCGUAAAGCGUGCGCAGGCGGUGAUGUAAGACAGAUGUGAAAUCCCCGGGCUCAACCUGGGAACUGCAUUUGUGACUGCAUCGCUGGAGUGCGGCAGAGGGGGAUGGAAUUCCGCGUGUAGCAGUGAAAUGCGUAGAUAUGUGGAGGAACACCGAUGGCGAAGGCAGCCCCCUGGGCUAGUACUGACGCUCAUGCACAAAAGCGUGGGGAGCAAACAGG
Molecule: ribosomal RNA, 253 nt
Filed under: uncultured bacterium
Lineage: Bacteria
Description: partial 16S ribosomal RNA
Rfam family: Bacterial small subunit ribosomal RNA
Source: RNAcentral